Molecule: long non-coding RNA, 351 nt
Organism: Tigriopus californicus
Lineage: Eukaryota; Metazoa; Arthropoda; Copepoda; Harpacticoida; Harpacticidae
Exons: 2
Source: RefSeq, a predicted model, not a curated record
UGUUUGAGUAGCAUACCCUAAUUCCAAAUUGAAGUCAUACAUUAACCAAGACAAGAAAGAGCCUUGAAUGAAAAUCAACUCUGGGAAUCAGGACGAGGACUAGCUUGAAUAGAAUUCUAGUUUUCUCGCUCCAUUUCCGCCCAUCACUACGGUGAGAAUGCCCCAUCUCCAAAUUUCCCAGUUUCGUGUGCAAAUGGCCGUGACUGGUGAAUUUCUGUCGAAUCCUCUCACUCGAAACUGUUUGCUCCAUCUUUGAAGUUUGUUUCAUUGAACUUGCGUGCUUUGAAGUCCCGACUUAAUAUGACGUAAAACAACAUAGCAUUACGAAGUAGCACGAAAAACGCAUCCCCC